Long non-coding RNA from Homo sapiens (human), 559 nucleotides. Ensembl annotates it as macrophage interferon regulatory lncRNA. Its record names the gene MAILR. Lineage: Eukaryota; Metazoa; Chordata; Mammalia; Primates; Hominidae. The record is from Ensembl.
AGUUUGACACAGCUGAGGCGGUUGUAGGGGAAUUUUUCAGGCUGAUUUCUGGGGUGGGAACUUGGAGUCUGUAUUUUUACAGAACUCUUCAGGACACAAACCACAGUCAAAAAAGGUCUUCCUGAGUUCUGAAGGUCAAGCAAUUAGAAUUUUCUCAGGCUUGUAGAAGAGUGGAAUUCUGGAAACCAGUCUUCGCCUCAGGGGAGCAUCUGUUGGAAGUUCUUAGGGAUGCUCAGGCAUAUGGCCUCAGAAACAUGGGCUAUUGAGACAGAGAAAAAGACAACUCUGGAAGGAGAGAGCCUGGCCUUACAGAAGACAUCUGAACUAUCAAUCAACAGAAAUCUCACGUAUAGUUGAAGAAUCAGAAAUCUGAGCGUAGGAAGAAGUGGGUUAGCCCUGGAGAAAGGAAAAGGAGGAUCAUGGUUCUCUGCAAAGAGCUGGAAGCUAAAAAGCAGGCUGUGUUUACUUACCAACCAGGACUCAGUGGGAUCUUUGCCAGCUUCCAAUAUGGCCUUAAAAGUAUAUGAAAUCCAAGAAAUAUUUCUGCAAAGCAAGAGAU